RNAcentral lists this ribosomal RNA (467 nucleotides) under uncultured bacterium. RNAcentral's name for it is "partial 16S ribosomal RNA". It matches the Rfam family "Bacterial small subunit ribosomal RNA", at positions 28 to 507 of the family's 1533-position model. The record is from RNAcentral.
GACGAACGCUGGCGGCGUGCUUAACACAUGCAAGUCGAACGGAAAGGCCCUGCUUUUGUGGGGUGCUCGAGUGGCGAACGGGUGAGUAACACGUGAGUAACCUGCCCUUGACUUUGGGAUAACUUCAGGAAACUGGGGCUAAUACCGGAUAGGAGCUCCUGCUGCAUGGUGGGGGUUGGAAAGUUCGGCGGUUGGGGAUGGACUCGCGGCUUAUCAGCUUGUUGGUGGGGUAGUGGCUUACCAAGGCUUUGACGGGUAGCCGGCCUGAGAGGGUGACCGGCCACAUUGGGACUGAGAUACGGCCUAGACUCCUACGGGAGGCAGCAGUGGGGAAUAUUGCACAAUGGGCGGAAGCCUGAUGCAGCAACGCCGCGUGCGGGAUGACGGCCUUCGGGUUGUAAACCGCUUUCGCCUGUGACGAAGCGUGAGUGACGGUAAUGGGUAAAGAAGCACCGGCUAACUACGUG